ACCUGGCUGGCUCAGUCGGUAGAGUGUGUGACCCUUGAUCUCGGGGUUGUGAGUUCAAGCCCCAUGUUGGGUG
RNAcentral lists this transfer RNA (73 nucleotides) under Ailuropoda melanoleuca (giant panda). It matches the Rfam family "tRNA". Rfam says of the family: Transfer RNA (tRNA) molecules are approximately 80 nucleotides in length. Their secondary structure includes four short double-helical elements and three loops (D, anti-codon, and T loops). Lineage: Eukaryota; Metazoa; Chordata; Mammalia; Carnivora; Ursidae. The record is from Rfam by way of RNAcentral.